AUGAGUGGGGCCCGCGUGGUGCCAGGGGCCGCGGGCUAUGGGCGAGGCCCGGGGUCUGCGGGUAAACGCGCUGCCCCCGCUGCCCAAGAGACUGGGCAAGCUGCUGCACUUGGCAUCGGGCGGCGGCGUGAUCAGGGGCUGGCGGCACCUGGAGCGGCUGUAGGCGCAGAAGUCGCGUAUCCAGGACGAGCUGGGCCUCGGGGACGCCGGGGGCGGCAGCACUGCCAGCCAAGCCUCCCAACCUGGACGCCGCGCUCGCGCUGCUCCGCGAGGAGAUGGUUGGUCUCCGCCAGCUGGACAUGUCCUUGCUCUGCCAACUGUGCAGCGUUUACGAGUCGAUUCAGGAGUACGAGCAGAUGUGCCAGGCAGCCUCCAGCCCAGACUGCACUUACGCUCUGGAGAAUGGCUUCUUUGAUGAAGAGGAAGACUAUUUCCAGCAGCAGAACUCCCUGCGUGGUAGGAGGGACCGAGGGCCUCCUUGGGACUUGUCACUGCCUGCCUCCUCCCUCUCCAGCACUGACUGGAUUCUGGAGUCCAUCUAGAGGGUCUUGGGAGGGAUGUGACUGUUGAG
Non-coding RNA from Saimiri boliviensis boliviensis (Bolivian squirrel monkey), 571 nucleotides. Lineage: Eukaryota; Metazoa; Chordata; Mammalia; Primates; Cebidae. The record is from RefSeq and is a predicted model, not a curated record.